This 497-nucleotide ribosomal RNA is filed under the name uncultured bacterium. RNAcentral describes it as "partial 16S ribosomal RNA". It matches the Rfam family "Bacterial small subunit ribosomal RNA", at positions 28 to 507 of the family's 1533-position model. The record is from RNAcentral.
GAUGAACGCUGGCGGCGUGCCUAAUACAUGCAAGUCGAGCGAACAGACGAGGAGCUUGCUCCUCUGACGUUAGCGGCGGACGGGUGAGUAACACGUGGAUAACCUACCUAUAAGACUGGGAUAACUUCGGGAAACCGGAGCUAAUACCGGAUAAUAUAUUGAACCGCAUGGUUCAAUAGUGAAAGACGGUUUUGCUGUCACUUAUAGAUGGAUCCGCGCCGCAUUAGCUAGUUGGUAAGGUAACGGCUUACCAAGGCGACGAUGCGUAGCCGACCUGAGAGGGUGAUAGGCCACACUGGAACGGAGACACGGUCCAGACUCCUAAGGGAGGCAGCAGUAGGGAAUCUUCCGCAAUGGGCGAAAGCAUGACGGAGCAACGCCGCGUGAGUGAUGAAGGUCUUCGGAUCGUAAAACUCUGUUAUUAGGGAAGAACAAAUGUGUAAGUAACUAUGCACGUCUUGACGGUACCUAAUCAGAAAGCCACGGCUAACUACGUG